Molecule: ribosomal RNA, 254 nt
Filed under: uncultured bacterium
Lineage: Bacteria
Description: partial 16S ribosomal RNA
Rfam family: Bacterial small subunit ribosomal RNA
Source: RNAcentral
UACGGAGGGUGCGAGCGUUGUCCGGAAUCACUGGGCGUAAAGGGCGCGUAGGUGGCCUGAUAAGGGUGUGGUGAAAGUCCGGGGCUCAACCCCGAGUCGGCCGUGCGAACUGGGCUCACUGGAGCAUAGUAGAGGCAGGUGGAAUUCCGGGUGUAGCGGUGGAAUGCGUAGAGAUCCGGAAGAACACCGGUGGCGAAGGCGGCCUGCUGGGCAGUGGCUGACGCUGAGGCGCGACAGCGUGGGGAGCAAACAGG